AUACGGAGGGUGCAAGCGUUACUCGGAAUCACUGGGCGUAAAGGACGCGUAGGCGGUUUGGAAAGUCAGAUGUGAAAGCCUACGGCUCAACCGUAGAACUGCAUCUGAAACUCCCAGACUAGAAUGAGGGAGAGGUCAGUGGAAUUAGUGGUGUAGGGGUAAAAUCCGUAGAGAUCACUAGGAAUACUCAUUGCGAAGGCGACUGACUGGAACUUAAUUGACGCUGAGGCGUGAAAGUGUGGGGAGCAAACAGGAUUAGAAACCCUAGUAGUCC
This 274-nucleotide ribosomal RNA is filed under the name uncultured bacterium. RNAcentral's name for it is "partial 16S ribosomal RNA". It matches the Rfam family "Bacterial small subunit ribosomal RNA", at positions 523 to 796 of the family's 1533-position model. The record is from RNAcentral.